This 791-nucleotide ribosomal RNA is filed under the name uncultured bacterium. RNAcentral's name for it is "bacterial SSU rRNA". It matches the Rfam family "Bacterial small subunit ribosomal RNA", at positions 62 to 831 of the family's 1533-position model. The record is from RNAcentral.
UCGAACGCGAAAGUCCCCUUCGGGGGACGAAGUAGAGUGGCGCACGGGUGAGUAACACGUAGGUAAUCUACCUUCGGGUGGGGAAUAACCCAGGGAAACUUGGGCUAACACCGCAUAAUGCAGCGGCACCACAUGGUGACAGUUGUUAAAGCGGGGGAUUUUAGGACCUCGCGCCUGAAGAGGAGCCUGCGGCAGAUUAGCUUGUUGGUAAGGUAACGGCUUACCAAGGCGACGAUCUGUAGCCGGCCUGAGAGGGCGGUCGGCCACACUGACACUGACAUACGGGUCAGACUCCUACGGGAGGCAGCAGUCGGGAAUUUUGGGCAAUGGGCGAAAGCCUGACCCAGCAACGCCGCGUGAAGGAUGAAAUCCCUCGGGAUGUAAACUUCGCAAGAAUAGGAAGAAUUAGUAGGGGUUAAUACCCCCUAUGAUGACGGUACUAUUUGUAAGCUCCGGCUAACUCCGUGCCAGCAGCCGCGGUAAUACGGGGGGAGCAAGCGUUGUUCGGAUUUACUGGGCGUAAAGGGCGCGUAGGCGGCCAGCACAAGUCGGUUGUGAAAUCUCCGGGCUUAACUCGGAAAGGUCAACCGAUACUGUGCGGCUAGAGUGCGGAAGGGGCAACUGGAAUUCUCGGUGUAGCGGUGAAAUGCGUAGAUAUCGAGAGGAACACUGCGGCGAAGGGCGGGUUGCUGGGCCGACACUGACGCUGAUGCGCGAAAGCCAGGGGAGCGAACGGGAUUAGAUACCCCGGUAGUCCUGGCCUUAACGAUGGAUGCUGGGUGUCUGGAGUU